This is a small nuclear RNA of Hyla sarda, 106 nucleotides long. The record is from RefSeq and is a predicted model, not a curated record. NCBI's taxonomy places the organism in Eukaryota, Metazoa, Chordata, Amphibia, Anura, Hylidae.
AAAUAAUACAAAUAUGUUUAAAUGAAUAUUGGAGCGAUACAGAGAAUAUUAGCAUGGUGCCUGAGCGAGGAUGACACACACAAUUUUUGAUGCUUUUCAUAUGAAU